AAAAAACCCACGGGACCACACGCGAUAAACAAUUCACUAAGAGAAAAGAUUACAAGGUGAUUACCGACUCCACGGACUCUACCUCUCUUAACCUCCUAUGAAUCUCGCGCAAUCCUCCGAGUUGUCCACGCCCUCAUGUUCGAAUCCACGAACGCCUCACACACGUCUGAAUCCACGAACGCCACUCGAAUCCGCGAGCCCACGAUCCGAAUCCACGAACCGCCGUUAAUCACGCCGAAUCCACGACGCCUCCAUGAAGAACAUCAUGUGUAUGGUGAUCCUUCGCUUAGAGUAUCACAGAAAACCAAGGACGACGACUCCAAGCGAAGACCAGAUCAAAUCGACAUAUAGCGAAUGCGAAACGAUACCUCGAUUUGAUCUAAAGAGGCUAAUUUGUAGAAAAUAGGUUUAGAACGAAAUACUAGCCUCUAGGGUUCUUUAAUUGUGUAUUCUUAUGAUAGAUCAUCGAUUAGAGAACCCCUAUAGCUUAUUUAUAGACUUUAGAAUCAAAACGGAGUAGGAUUAGAAAGUUUCUUUCCAUAUUCAGCACCUUGUACCGGUACACGGGAAGCUGUCUAGGGUACAGCAUGACGGAAGAUUUUUCUGCGAAGCUUCUGUACCCUGAACAGACUGCAGCUUGUUCCGGAACAAGGCUUGUACCGGUACAGCCAUGAUGGUUGUACCGGAACAACCAU
Molecule: long non-coding RNA, 695 nt
Filed under: Ananas comosus (pineapple)
Lineage: Eukaryota; Viridiplantae; Streptophyta; Magnoliopsida; Poales; Bromeliaceae
Description: long non-coding RNA (ACOM_LNC010148)
Source: RNAcentral